UGCUGAUCUCCGCAAUGUGGAAGCUAUUGCAUUUUCUCUAAGGAAAGAACUCUUGCAAAUUAAAGGAAUUAGUGAGGCAAAAGCUGACAAAAUUAUUGGAGCUGGCUCGCCGAGGUACAAUGGAUGAGCCAUUUGCAUGGGACAGCAGAGAGAUUUUGAGAAAAUUUUGCAUAGGAAAGGUAUUUUUGAAUCAGGUUAAGGAGCAGGGUCCACAAAUAGGCGAAGCAAGCCCAGCUUUAGCAGAACUGCUGCAUUUGGAAGAGCAAGCUAAGCAACAAGGGCUAGGUCGCUGGAGUAUUGUUUCUUUUCUUUUCUCUGUGUUAGUUGUGUCUUUUCAAGAUUUUUUUAUUGUUUUAAAUUCUUUUUCACCUUACUUUUACUCUUUUGUAUAAACUAUUGGAGUUUGAUUUCCAUGGACAAUUAUGGCCUUGCUUGCUUGCCACACCAUUUAUCUGAACAUAGUGAAUGGAUUACCUUCACUCAAGUGAUUUGGCUGACAUUAAGAUCACGCUCUGCAACAUUUAUCUGAGAGUAUAAAUUACCUUCACCCAAGGAUCUUGUUAGCCUAGAAGUUGCUUCUAAGAUUCAGUUAAAAGCUUUAGCAUAAGAAAUGCAGGCCAAAAUCAAAGGGCUUGACAAAGUCGAAUAGGAAUUGAUGACAUCGAAAAAUGAUGGUCCUAUAUCAGAGACCUUUCGUAAGGUAAGUGGGCAUAAAAAUAGCUCUAAUGUACUCGGUGAAUCUGCACUGUUGCAUAUUCUGUUGGAUGGAAAUCCUGGAAAUGAAACAGAUAUGU
Phalaenopsis equestris is the source of this 794-nucleotide long non-coding RNA. RefSeq lists it as uncharacterized. The record is from RefSeq and is a predicted model, not a curated record. Lineage: Eukaryota; Viridiplantae; Streptophyta; Magnoliopsida; Asparagales; Orchidaceae. The transcript is spliced from 3 exons.